CAGUAAAUAGUUUAAUUAAAAUUUUAAUUUUGGAGAUUAAGGAUAAGUAUAUGCUUUUUACUGA
RNAcentral lists this transfer RNA (64 nucleotides) under Urochela rubra. RNAcentral's name for it is "tRNA-Pro". The record is from RNAcentral. Lineage: Eukaryota; Metazoa; Arthropoda; Insecta; Hemiptera; Urostylididae.